GACGAACGCUGGCGGCGUGCUUAACACAUGCAAGUCGAACGGAAAGGCCCCUUCGGGGGUCCUCGAGUGGCGAACAGGUGAGUAACACGUGAGUAACCUGCCCUUGACUUCGGGAUAACUUCAGGAAACUGGGGCUAAUACCGGAUAGGAAUCCUUGCUGCUUGGGGUGGGUUGGAAAGCUUCGGCGGUUUUGGAUGGACUCGCGGCUUAUCAGCUUGUUGGUGGGGUAGUGGCUUACCAAGGCUUUGACGGGUAGCCGGACUGAGAGGGCGACCGGCGACAUUGGGACUGAGAUACGGCACAGACUCCUACGGGAGGCAGCAGUGGGGAAUAUUGCACAAUGGGCGGAAGCCUGAUGCAGCAACGCCGCGUGCGGGAUGACGGCCUUCGGGUUGUAAACCGCUUUCAGCAGGGGCGAAGCUUGUGGUGACGGUACCUGCAGAAGAAGCACCGGCUAACUACGUG
Molecule: ribosomal RNA, 465 nt
Filed under: uncultured bacterium
Lineage: Bacteria
Description: partial 16S ribosomal RNA
Rfam family: Bacterial small subunit ribosomal RNA
Source: RNAcentral